Molecule: unclassified non-coding RNA, 835 nt
Filed under: uncultured fungus
Lineage: Eukaryota; Fungi
Description: sequence contains 18S rRNA gene, ITS1, 5.8S rRNA gene, ITS2, 28S rRNA gene
Rfam family: Bacterial large subunit ribosomal RNA (bases 609-835)
Source: RNAcentral
GGCUGGAUCACCUCCUUAAUCGACGACAUCAGCUGCUCCAUAAGUUCCCACACGAAUUGCUUGAUUCAUUGAAGAAGACGAUAAGAAGCAGCCCUAACAGGUUGUAGCUUAGUUGGUUGGAACGCACCCCAUGCUCUGAGGUAAAGAGCAGGGUGAGGUCGGCCUUAAAGCUCGAAAUUGGGUCUGUAGCUCAGUUGGUUAGAGCGCACCCCUGAUAAGGGUGAGGUCGGCAGUUCGAAUCUGCCCAGACCCACCAAUUUUGUGUGGGAACCUGUAGAAAUACGGGGCCAUAGCUCAGCUGGGAGAGCGCCUGCCUUGCACGCAGGAGGUCAACGGUUCGAUCCCGUUUGGCUCCACCACUACUGCUUCUGUUUGUUGAAAGCUUAGAAAUGAGCAUUCCAUCGUGAUGAUGGUGAAUGUUGAUUUCUAGUCUUUGGCUAGAUCGUUCUUUAAAAAUUUGGGUAUGUGAUAGAAAGAUAGACUGGACGUUACUUUCACUGGUAACGGCUCAGGCUAAGGUAAAAUUUGUGAGUUGCUCUUUAUGAGCAAGAAUCGAAUUUUCGGCGAAUGUCGUCUUCACAGUAUAACCAGAUUGCUUGGGGUUAUAUGGUCAAGUGAAGAAGCGCAUACGGUGGAUGCCUUGGCAGUCAGAGGCGAUGAAAGACGUGGUAGCCUGCGAAAAGCUUCGGGGAGUCGGCAAACAGACUUUGAUCCGGAGAUGUCUGAAUGGGGGAACCCAGCCAUCAUAAGAUGGUUAUCUUAAGCUGAAUACAUAGGCUUAAGAGGCGAACCAGGGGAACUGAAACAUCUAAGUACCCUGAGGAAAAGAAAUCAA